AUUCGUAUCUUGGUAUCCAUACCGGAAGGUGGGGAUGGAUCACCUCCUUUCGAUGGAAUUUAGUUUCCAAUGUGAAACCAAGACAACAAGAAAAAUUAGAUGGAUGAUUUACUGGAUUACUUCUUUUGUUAUGUUUAGUUUUCAGGGAUUGCUUUCUCCGAGCAAAUGGUCUUUAAAAACCGGAUCUUUGACGUCGUUUAAAAAGAAUAAGAUUAUUUUUAUUUUGCAAUACGAUCUUCUGAAAAUCUAUUAUUAUGAGCGUAUGGUGGAUGGCUUGGU
This 279-nucleotide unclassified non-coding RNA is filed under the name Spiroplasma endosymbiont of Rhynchophorus ferrugineus. Its description in RNAcentral is "partial contains 16S ribosomal RNA, 16S-23S ribosomal RNA intergenic spacer, and 23S ribosomal RNA". The record is from RNAcentral. Lineage: Bacteria; Bacillati; Mycoplasmatota; Mollicutes; Entomoplasmatales; Spiroplasmataceae.